UACGAAGGGGGCUAGCGUUGCUCGGAAUCACUGGGCGUAAAGGGUGCGUAGGCGGGUCUUUAAGUCAGAGGUGAAAUCCUGGAGCUCAACUCCAGAACUGCCUUUGAUACUGGGAGCCUUGAGUUCGGGAGAGGUGAGUGGAACUGCGAGUGUAGAGGUGAAAUUCGUAGAUAUUCGCAAGAACACCAGUGGCGAAGGCGGCUCACUGGCCCGAUACUGACGCUGAGGUGCGAAAGCGUGGGGAGCAAACAGG
RNAcentral lists this ribosomal RNA (253 nucleotides) under uncultured bacterium. RNAcentral's name for it is "partial 16S ribosomal RNA". It matches the Rfam family "Bacterial small subunit ribosomal RNA", at positions 524 to 776 of the family's 1533-position model. The record is from RNAcentral.